UGGAGGAUAGUUUAACGGUAGAACUCCCGGUUCUGGUCCGGGCAGUCUUGGUUCGAAUCCAGGUCUUCCAGCCA
RNAcentral lists this transfer RNA (74 nucleotides) under Holosporales bacterium. RNAcentral describes it as "tRNA-Gln". It matches the Rfam family "tRNA". From Rfam's summary of the family: Transfer RNA (tRNA) molecules are approximately 80 nucleotides in length. Their secondary structure includes four short double-helical elements and three loops (D, anti-codon, and T loops). Lineage: Bacteria; Pseudomonadati; Pseudomonadota; Alphaproteobacteria; Holosporales. The record is from RNAcentral.